Molecule: ribosomal RNA, 253 nt
Filed under: uncultured bacterium
Lineage: Bacteria
Description: partial 16S ribosomal RNA
Rfam family: Bacterial small subunit ribosomal RNA
Source: RNAcentral
UACGGAGGGGGCAAGCGUUGUUCGGAAUCACUGGGCGUAAAGCGCGUGUAGGCGGCUUUGCAAGUCGGGUGUGAAAUCCCGAGGCUCAACCUCGGAACUGCACUCGAUACUGCUUGGCUCGAGUCCCGGAGAGGGUGGCGGAAUUCCCGGUGUAGGGGUGAAAUCCGUAGAUAUCGGGAGGAACAUCAGUGGCGAAGGCGGCCACCUGGACGUUGACUGACGCUGAGACGCGAAAGCGUGGGGAGCAAACAGG